CCUGCGUGAAGAUUUUGACCUCUUUUCUUUGGAGACAAAGUCACUAGCGGAGCAAACAGAAUCAUCAGUUUCUUCCCCUUCUGAAUCCGCAGUGAUCUUUCCACCCAGAAUCAUCUCUUCAUCUUCAGCAGGUUCUUUGGGCUUCACCUUAUUCUGUUGUUUACGCUUAAGUUUCUGCGCUGUUGUACAUGGUAUUAUAUAAUACUUCUGUCCAGGCAAUAGGCUCUCCUCUGGCCUUAAAAAGGACUCCUGAGGCUUUUUGAAAACAUCUGGGCGGGCAACACAUUUCCCAGGAUACUUGUCCAUCAACAAAGACGCAGGAACUGCAUCCGGAA
This 335-nucleotide long non-coding RNA is filed under the name Fragaria vesca (wild strawberry). RNAcentral's name for it is "long non-coding RNA (FVES_LNC003145)". Lineage: Eukaryota; Viridiplantae; Streptophyta; Magnoliopsida; Rosales; Rosaceae. The record is from RNAcentral.